RNAcentral lists this long non-coding RNA (231 nucleotides) under Panax ginseng (ginseng). RNAcentral describes it as "long non-coding RNA (PGIN_LNC012066)". The record is from RNAcentral. Lineage: Eukaryota; Viridiplantae; Streptophyta; Magnoliopsida; Apiales; Araliaceae.
UAAAGUGAUGGAAAUCGUAGACUUAUGCAGUUAUGCUUUGUAUUAUCACUACGAUUAUAACUUUGGCUUCUGUUCUACUAUCUGAUUGCUGGGCUUGAUGUGCAGACUUCUUUUUUGUUCUUCGAACACUUUAGCAGCUCUUCGAUACAGAAGACAACUCUUGAUUUUGUUGUCUCUUGAUCCUUUACUUCUCCUAGGUUGUCUGCUUCACCGCUCUUGAUUUAUUCUGCG